RNAcentral lists this transfer RNA (540 nucleotides) under Bradyrhizobium sp. S1.40. RNAcentral describes it as "partial 16S-23S ribosomal RNA intergenic spacer". The stretch from base 66 to 138 matches the Rfam family "tRNA". The record is from RNAcentral. Lineage: Bacteria; Pseudomonadati; Pseudomonadota; Alphaproteobacteria; Hyphomicrobiales; Nitrobacteraceae.
GGUCGGAAGUUCAAGUCUUCCCAGGCCCACCACACUCAUCGGGUAAGCAUUCGUCUUCUGGUUACGGGGCCAUAGCUCAGCUGGGAGAGCGCGUGCUUUGCAAGCAUGAGGUCGUCGGUUCGAUCCCGUCUGGCUCCACCAGAUGGUUCGAUCACCAACGGCAUGAUGACCGUCGUCCGCGAAACAUCACUUCGCACCCACUAGUCCGGAUGGACAGUGAGGCUGCGGGAUUUCUGACAUCGUAAAGAGGAGAUCGAUCCGAGUUGGAUCGUGCAGCAAGCAAUUGCCGCGCGAUACUUCAUUAUCUCCGGAUCAUUUCGGCGCUUGCUUCGCCCUUCAAGGUCAAACUUGAGAGGUGAUGCGAGUUGUAAAUGAUCCUUUUAGCGAAGCUUGACCGCCUCGCUAUCGGAACGAUCUUACGAAGCAAGCUGGUCUUUCUAAUCAUUGUCCGGCUGUAGAUAGCGUUCAUCGAGGGCGCGUGCCGCAAGGCAAUUCUGCAGACAACAUUCUGCCGAGUGUGUGGACAUUGAUAAUGAGAGC